This 738-nucleotide ribosomal RNA is filed under the name uncultured Pseudomonas sp. RNAcentral describes it as "bacterial SSU rRNA". It matches the Rfam family "Bacterial small subunit ribosomal RNA", at positions 18 to 749 of the family's 1533-position model. Lineage: Bacteria; Pseudomonadati; Pseudomonadota; Gammaproteobacteria; Pseudomonadales; Pseudomonadaceae. The record is from RNAcentral.
UAUGGCUCAGAUUGAACGCUGGCGGCAGGCCUAACACAUGCAAGUCGAGCGGCAGCACGGGUACUUGUACCUGGUGGCGAGCGGCGGACGGGUGAGUAAUGCCUAGGAAUCUGCCUGGUAGUGGGGGAUAACGUUCGGAAACGAACGCUAAUACCGCAUACGUCCUACGGGAGAAAGCAGGGGACCUUCGGGCCUUGCGCUAUCAGAUGAGCCUAGGUCGGAUUAGCUAGUUGGUGAGGUAAUGGCUCACCAAGGCGACGAUCCGUAACUGGUCUGAGAGGAUGAUCAGUCACACUGGAACUGAGACACGGUCCAGACUCCUACGGGAGGCAGCAGUGGGGAAUAUUGGACAAUGGGCGAAAGCCUGAUCCAGCCAUGCCGCGUGUGUGAAGAAGGUCUUCGGAUUGUAAAGCACUUUAAGUUGGGAGGAAGGGCAGUUACCUAAUACGUAAUUGUUUUGACGUUACCGACAGAAUAAGCACCGGCUAACUCUGUGCCAGCAGCCGCGGUAAUACAGAGGGUGCAAGCGUUAAUCGGAAUUACUGGGCGUAAAGCGCGCGUAGGUGGUUCGUUAAGUUGGAUGUGAAAUCCCCGGGCUCAACCUGGGAACUGCAUUCAAAACUGUCGAGCUAGAGUAUGGUAGAGGGUGGUGGAAUUUCCUGUGUAGCGGUGAAAUGCGUAGAUAUAGGAAGGAACACCAGUGGCGAAGGCGACCACCUGGACUGAUACUGACACUGA